UACGAAGGGGGCUAGCGUUGUUCGGAGUUACUGGGCGUAAAGGGCGCGUAGGCGGCGCACCAAGUCAGGCGUGAAAGCCCUGGGCUCAACCCGGGAAUUGCGCUUGAGACUGGUGUGCUUGAGUACGGGAGAGGAUAGUGGAAUUCCCAGUGUAGAGGUGAAAUUCGUAGAUAUCGUAAGGAAGACCAGUGGCGAAGGCGGGUCUCUGGACAGUUCCUGACGCUGAGGCACGAAGGUCAGGGGAGCAAACGGG
Molecule: ribosomal RNA, 253 nt
Filed under: uncultured bacterium
Lineage: Bacteria
Description: partial 16S ribosomal RNA
Rfam family: Bacterial small subunit ribosomal RNA
Source: RNAcentral